Molecule: non-coding RNA, 114 nt
Organism: Acanthosepion pharaonis
Lineage: Eukaryota; Metazoa; Mollusca; Cephalopoda; Sepiida; Sepiidae
Source: the annotation of a GenBank genome assembly
UUACAGUCAUAUCACGUCGAACCACCGAUUCCCGUACGAUCACCGCAGUUAAGCAACGUGAUGACUGAUCAGUGCCUAGAUGGGUGACCGCCUGGAAAUACCCCGUGCUGUAAG